UACGUAGGGAGCAAGCGUUGUCCGGAAUCCUUGGGCGUAAAGCGCGCGUAGGUGGCCCAGUAAGUCCGCUCUGAAAGUCAAAGGCUCAACCUUUGAAAGCGGGUGGAUACUGCCAGGCUAGAGUCCGGAAGAGGCGAGUGGAAUUCCUGGUGUAGCGGUGAAAUGCGCAGAUAUCAGGAAGAACACCCGUGGCGAAGGCGGCUCUCUGGGACGUGACUGACGCUGAGACGCGAAAGCGUGGGGAGCAAACAGG
RNAcentral lists this ribosomal RNA (253 nucleotides) under uncultured bacterium. RNAcentral describes it as "partial 16S ribosomal RNA". It matches the Rfam family "Bacterial small subunit ribosomal RNA", at positions 524 to 776 of the family's 1533-position model. The record is from RNAcentral.